GGGGGGUUGGUGUAAUUGGUAACAUAGUGGGUCAUGACCCAAUGUCUUAGGUUCAAAUCUAAACCCCCCA
RNAcentral lists this transfer RNA (70 nucleotides) under Didymium nigripes. Its description in RNAcentral is "tRNA-Met". It matches the Rfam family "tRNA". From Rfam's summary of the family: Transfer RNA (tRNA) molecules are approximately 80 nucleotides in length. The record is from RNAcentral. Lineage: Eukaryota; Evosea; Eumycetozoa; Physariida; Didymiaceae.